AUUUAAAUAGUUUAAUUUAAAAUACUGACUUGUGGUGUCAGAGAUAUACAUAUGUUAUUUUAAAUA
This 66-nucleotide transfer RNA is filed under the name Meloidae sp. MT-2010. RNAcentral describes it as "tRNA-His". The record is from RNAcentral. Lineage: Eukaryota; Metazoa; Arthropoda; Insecta; Coleoptera; Meloidae.